CAUCUAAGCGGGAAACCAGCUUCAAGAUAAGUAUUCUUUAAGACUCCUUCGAGACUAGAAGGUUGAUAGGUUGGGGGUGUAAGGGCUGCGAGGCUUUUAGCUGACCAAUACUAAUAAGUCAAAGUUUUAACCUA
Fusobacterium varium ATCC 27725 is the source of this 134-nucleotide ribosomal RNA. It matches the Rfam family "Bacterial large subunit ribosomal RNA", at positions 2778 to 2925 of the family's 2925-position model. The record is from Rfam. NCBI's taxonomy places the organism in Bacteria, Fusobacteriati, Fusobacteriota, Fusobacteriia, Fusobacteriales, Fusobacteriaceae.